AGAACCUUAAGUUAAGUUAAACUAAUAGCCUUCAAAGCUGUAAAUUUGAAGUUCUGAAUAGGUUCAG
Molecule: transfer RNA, 67 nt
Filed under: Epitrimerus sabinae
Lineage: Eukaryota; Metazoa; Arthropoda; Arachnida; Trombidiformes; Eriophyidae
Description: tRNA-Trp
Source: RNAcentral